AAUAUUUUUUUAAAAUACAUUUGAAAACCCUAGUCUAGACAUAACAUUCUGUCGCCCACUCACUCUCAUCUCUCCCUAUUUCACUCUUUGCGGCGCCACCCCAAGGCUGUGCCCUUGUUCUUCCGUCUCCGGCGCUGCCGCGGCAACGGUGCUAGCAGCAGCCCUCGUCCCAGUCGUGCGCUGCUCAUCCCUUGCUACAGCUCCCCUGCUCCUCCGCUGCUAUAGCUGCGUCCAGCAAGGCAGCGGCACAGCCCAGGCCUGGUUCCUCCUCGAUCGUCGCCGGCGUCCAGCAAAGCAAUACGUUCAAGGUGGCUCAGAGUAGUAUCUUGAAAUCCAAAUAAGAAUUUUUUAUUCUUGUAUAGUCCACGCCUUCCCUUACUGAUAUAGAAAUAAUA
RNAcentral lists this long non-coding RNA (395 nucleotides) under Salvia miltiorrhiza (redroot sage). Its description in RNAcentral is "long non-coding RNA (SMIL_LNC012097)". Lineage: Eukaryota; Viridiplantae; Streptophyta; Magnoliopsida; Lamiales; Lamiaceae. The record is from RNAcentral.